UUAAGUCCGUAACGAGCGCAACCCUUGUCCUUAGUUACCAGCACGUUAUGUGGGCACUCUAAGGAGACUGCCGGUGACAAACCGGAGGAAGGUGGGGAUGACGUCAAGUCAUCAUGGCCCUUACGGCCUGGGCUACACACGUGCUACAAUGGUCGGUACAAAGGGUUGCCAAGCCGCGAGGUGGAGCUAAUCCCAUAAAACCGAUCGUAGUCCGGAUCGCAGUCUGCAACUCGACUGCGUGAAGUCGGAAUCGCUAGUAAUCGUGAAUCAGAAUGUCACGGUGAAUACGUUCCCGGGCCUU
RNAcentral lists this ribosomal RNA (301 nucleotides) under uncultured Pseudomonas sp. RNAcentral describes it as "bacterial SSU rRNA". It matches the Rfam family "Bacterial small subunit ribosomal RNA", at positions 1080 to 1382 of the family's 1533-position model. Lineage: Bacteria; Pseudomonadati; Pseudomonadota; Gammaproteobacteria; Pseudomonadales; Pseudomonadaceae. The record is from RNAcentral.